GGGGGAUAUUGCACAAUGGGGGAAACCCUGAUGCAGCAACGCCGCGUGAGGGAAGAAGGUUUUCGGAUUGUAAACCUCUGUUCUUAGUGACGAUAAUGACGGUAGCUAAGGAGAAAGCUCCGGCUAACUACGUGCCAGCAGCCGCGGUAAUACGUAGGGAGCGAGCGUUGUCCGGAUUUACUGGGUGUAAAGGGUGCGUAGGCGGCGAGGCAAGUCAGGCGUGAAAUCUAUGGGCUUAACCCAUAAACUGCGCUUGAAACUGUCUUGCUUGAGUGAAGUAGAGGUAGGCGGAAUUCCCGGUGUAGCGGUGAAAUGCGUAGAGAUCGGGAGGAACACCAGUGGCGAAGGCGGCCUACUGGGCUUUAACUGACGCUGAAGCACGAAAGCAUGGGUAGCAAACAGGAUUAGAUACCCUGGUAGUCCAUGCCGUAAACGAUGAUUACUAGGUGUGGGGGGUCUGACCCCCUCCGUGCCGCAGUUAACACAAUAAGUAAUCCACCUGGGGAGUACGGCCGCAAGGUUGAAACUCAAAGGAAUUGACGGGGGCCCGCACAAGCAGUGGAGUAUGUGGUUUAAUUCGACGCAACGCGAAGAACCUUACCAAGUCUUGACAUCCUGCGACGCACAUAGAAAUAUGUGUUUCCUUCGGGACGCAGAGACAGGUGGUGCAUGGUUGUCGUCAGCUCGUGUCGUGAGAUGUUGGGUUAAGUCCCGCAACGAGCGCAACCCUUACUGUCAGUUACUACGCAAGAGGACUCUGGCAGGACUGCCGUUGACAAAACGGAGGAAGGUGGGGAUGACGUCAAAUCAUCAUGCCCUUUAUGACUUGGGCUACACACGUACUACAAUGGCGUUAAACAAAGAGAAGCAAGACCGCGAGGUGGAGCAAAACUCAGAAACAACGUCCCAGUUCGGACUGCAGGCUGCAACUCGCCUGCACGAAGUCGGAAUUGCUAGUAAUCGUGGAUCAGCAUGCCACGGUGAAUACGUUCCCG
Molecule: ribosomal RNA, 995 nt
Filed under: uncultured bacterium
Lineage: Bacteria
Description: bacterial SSU rRNA
Rfam family: Bacterial small subunit ribosomal RNA
Source: RNAcentral